Molecule: long non-coding RNA, 1678 nt
Filed under: Homo sapiens (human)
Lineage: Eukaryota; Metazoa; Chordata; Mammalia; Primates; Hominidae
Description: HSALNT0290541
Source: RNAcentral
UCUGAGAAGCCUGACAACUCGCUCCCCCAUCACCCGGGGAAUUCUUGUCAUCCCUUACGUCACAGCCUAAAUGUCCCUUCCUUGGGGAAACUCUCUCUGACAUCCCCCACCGCACCCCAUCCUCCCCACUCCAAUGCAGCAUCUUGUGCAUCUCUGUAGCACUAAUCACAGUGGCAUUUAAUGAGUUGUUUCUGCAAUGGUUUGCUCUCUCCCCACUCAUGCAUAUGCUCCUCAAGGGAUGGCAACAUGUCUCUAUUGUUUACCACCCUGUCCUGAAUGCAGGGGCCCUGACUCAGAGAAGACUCCGGGUAAUUAUUUACCAUUUGAAGAAUGAAUGGCUUCCUAAGUUUGUGCACCUAGAGCUCUCUGGCCUUCAGCUGCUUCAUCUGUAAGUAGGCGGAGCCUUAGGUCCCCAGGACUAGCUCACUCUUAAGAUGACUUCUCAUUCUUAGGUCCUAGAAAAUGCUUUUUAAAAUUCCAUCUUCCUUUCCCAAAUGGAAACAACAAUGUCAUACCAAUCAGGUUGGAAAAAAAAUGAGAAAUUUGGAUAAUGCCAUGUGCUGAGUACCAGUGUCCUCGAAGAAACCUGUCAGUAUUCAGGGAAAUGAAGUACUGCACGCCUUCUGACCCCACCAUCCCACUCCUGGGGAGACUCCGGGGAAACACUCACGUGGUCCCAGUGGGUCACCCACAUGGUGGGGCAUCGGAGGCAAUCUAGUGUCCACCCCUGGAACAGCGGACAUCUCUAGAGAAACUCUGCAGCAGUCAGAAACAUCGAAUGAGAUAAUGCACAGCAACUCAGGUGAAUGUAAUGACUGAUUAACGAACGAAGACUCCACCUUCUCUUCCUCUCGUGGAUCCCAGCGAACUUCCAGGGCAUGGGUUGGCAUAGGUUUGAAGAAGGUUUCUCGGCCUCUGCACUGUCUACAUUUUGGGCCCGCUGAGUCUUUGUAGUUGGGGCUGGCCUGUGCAUUGUAGGAUGUUUAGCAGUUUCCCUGGUGUCCACCUACCAGAUGCCAGUUGCACCUACCAAGUUCUGACACCCAAAAUGUCUUCAGACAUCGCCAAAUGUCCCCUGGGGGACAAAAAUCACCCCUGGUUGAGAACCACUGGGUUGGAAUACAAGCCUGAAAAACCGCUCCCAGUCUGCCAGAAGGUCAAGACCACAGUGACCUCUGGACUCCAGCCCCUGGCUAAGAAUGCAAUCUACCUGUCCAUGGGCCAGUGUGACUCAAGAUGUCAAGGGAUGGUGAUCACUGAGAGACCAAAGAUUUCCUCUGAAUUUGCCUGGAUUUUCACACUUGAUUGUUCACUGUCAAAAGGAAGAACAGGUGUACCUACAGCAACCUGGCUGCAGAAAUCUACAUUCUCCUUAUUCUGAGAAACCCCUCAAAAUACUACCACCAAAGUAGAAACCAAAUUUAUCCUGAAUUGACAUGUACCCCCUAACCCCAGCCCAACUCCAUACUCCUCUCUGUCAAGGAAGCAAAAUCAAUUUCCUUUGCUUUAGAUACCAGCAUGUAGGCUUGUGGACUUCCAAAUGCUGUCUUCCAAGAACUUGGAGUUUAAACAUGAUCCCUUGGAUGAUAUGUCCAAAGAAGUUCUCACUGAAAUUCCCCGCAUCGUAAAAUGUCAGGAUGUCUGCGGUCUUUAUUUAUAGACAGAUUGCUUUUCAACU